This 254-nucleotide ribosomal RNA is filed under the name uncultured bacterium. Its description in RNAcentral is "partial 16S ribosomal RNA". It matches the Rfam family "Bacterial small subunit ribosomal RNA", at positions 524 to 776 of the family's 1533-position model. The record is from RNAcentral.
UACGUAGGGCGCGAGCGUUUGUCCGGAAUUAUUGGGCGUAAAGAGCUCGUAGGCGGUUUGUCGCGUCGGUUGUGAAACCCAAGGCUCAACCUUGGGCCUGCAAUCGAUACGGGCAGACUAGAGUACUGCAGGGGAGACUGGAAUUCCUGGUGUAGCGGUGGAAGUGCGCAGAUAUCAGGAGGAACACCGGUGGCGAAGGCGGGUCUCUGGGCAGUAACUGACGCUGAGGAGCGAAAGCGUGGGGAGCGAACAGG